UUCGAUGAAAAUAGUACAAUUAUAUCAUAAAUCUAAAAUAAAUUUGUAUUUUGAUCAUUCCAAUUUGUAGCAAAAGUCUUUGACAGAAGUACUGAUGGAAAAAUUUGAAAAAGUGCAGUAUGAAAAAAUGAAAUAUAAGUCGUCACUAAUACCACAUGUAUCAACAAAAGAAAGGCAAUUGUUAACACUAGCCAGCAAACACUCGCCAAGUGAAAGGACGACUGAAAUGGAAAUGAAAGAAAGGCAAAUGUUAAACACAGUAGCCAGCAAACACUUUCAAAGUGAAAGGACGACUGGAAUGGAAAGUUCCCCACCUCGUAAAGGAGUGUUGCACAUUAACACUCCACACAGUUUGAAUAAAGAUGAAAUAGAGGAAAUGUUAAAAUGGACACCAUUUAUUGACGAGGAUAUUACAGUCGAAUUUGAUGAGAAAGGCUAAUUUUAUUGUUUCCAAAAUCGUGAUCUUUCGGAGUAUACAUAAAGAAGGAUGGCUAAUGACCAUUUCUUGACUUCACCAAUAAUUCUUUUUGUUAUCUUUUAUGUCAGAUUUCAUAACAACUCACUAUAAUGUUAUGACGUUAAAAUAAAUAUUAUACCUUUGGGAUAUUUACAGAUUUUUUAGUAGGUAUCCCGAUGAAUAUAUAAUUGCAUAAAUGUAUAUCAAAAAUAAUUUAUAACUUUUGAAAUUAAGUGAAUGUAAUUUUUAAACUGGAACGAAUAUUAAACAUUUUGUUGUCUAAAAAAGAAAUGACGAACGAAACAUGUAUAAACGCCCGUAAAUACUAAGCUUUACAAAAUUUCAUGUUUUUUCUCCUGUCCUUUUCUUAAUAUAAUGUAUGAAAUUUAUUUCAGUUUAGCUAGAGAUUUUUUUAGAAAUAUUGGUUAGUUUUAGUUGAAGUUUUCUGUAUUUAUCAUACUUAUACACUUUUGUGUAAAAAAAAAAAUGUCAUUUUAGUUUAGCUUUUUUACGUUAUUGAAAUUGAUCAAUCAAAAAGAUUUAGUUUUGAAAGGAAACAUUUUGUUAUUGACAAUUCUGGUUAUUGAAUCAUUCAUGAAUUUUCUUGUCUCUUUACAAAAUUGAUUAUACUUUGUGUGGACUACUUUAUGUUGGUCGACAAACUUUGCGUAAGAGAAUGAAUAAACACCGGUCUGAUAAUUAAGAUCCGCAAUUUAAGUUUCUUUAUAACUUUUUUAAUCAGCCGGACCAUGAUUCUUCUUUAUCUAUGAAAUUACGCAUCAUCGAGAAAAAUUUUCAACUCACCAAAAGUACUCUUUUCGGAAAAGAUAGAGAAAAUUUCUGGAUAAGGGAACUAGGUACUGGAAUGUCAUAUGGUUGCAAUGAUAACAUCGAAGGAAUAGGAAAUUUGUCAAAUUCAGCGUUCAGUGAUGUAAAUGUAAAGAGCUUAUUACACCACCGUAGUCAUAGUCAUGGUCAAAUAGAAUAUAUUUGAUAUCAAAACAUGUACAAAUAUACAUUGCAAAUUGCAUGUGUUGAAUGAACUUUAAUCUCAUAAAACUAUAUGUCAUAGUUACAUAUAAAAUUGAUAUUUACAAUAACAAAGUCUAAUUGGCAUGUCCGAUUUAAUCAAUUGAGUAUAAAGUUUUUAAAGUAUAAAAAUUGUAGAACCUCGAAUUUUACCAAAAGCGGGGAUUGCUAGCUUUAAGGUUUGUCAAUAGCCACUUUCGGCCGUUGAAGCUAUGUACAUUUGUAUACAAUUCCGAAAACAUAUUUCAUUUAAGUUGUAAUUUAUGCUAAUUUAACUGUCACAUAUAUUUUUUUUAAACAAUUGAACAAAGCAAACAAAUGCUCACGCAAUGAAAUGAAUAUAACUGAAAAAUCAGGGUAUUCAAAACAAGCUCGAAUAAAGGUUGCACCUUGUAAAUACAGCUGUUUCAGAAACCACGCCUCUUUUGGGGAGAUAUAUAAUAUUCAUAGAUAUUUCAUUUUGUUUACGAACUAGUUCCCAGAUAUGAUCUCUAUGUUUCAUCUCAUAGAGACAUAACUUGGGAAUGUUACCAGUCUAAGUGCACAUGGUAGGCGGAUGAAUUGAUAUCUGAGAAAGACCUAAAAUGAAGUAAGGGGUAGUGCAGAAUUUUAGUAUAAGGUUAAAUUCUAAUAAGUUCGGGGCAUAUAAAUGUUGAAAAUAUGCCGCACAGGUACUUAUGCAUCCCGCCAACGUGUUGUUGUGCUGUGGUAAUAUUGUAUUCUUGUUUUUCAUUUUGUUUAUGUGCUUUAUUAUGCCGUUUUGAUUUUUUUUUUUGUUGACAUUUUUGUUUGUUUUUAUAGUGAUUAAGAUAAUAACACAAUGUUGACUGCUGUACCCUUAUUUUUGACAUUUUUACCUUUUAAUUUUUGUUCACACAUUGUUUUCAAUAUAAUUGAAUUGUAUUCGACUGUCAUACAAGUGAGAGGUUUAGCUAGCUAUAAAACCAGGUUUAAUCCACCAUUUUUAAAAUAAGGAAAUGCCUGUACCAAUUCAGGAAUAUAACAGUUGUUUUCCAUUCGUUUGAUGUGUUUGAGCUUUUAAUUUUGCCAUUUAAUAAAUUUGCUAAAUGACUUUUUGUUUCGAAUUUUCCCCCGAGUUCGGUAUGUCUGUUAUUUUACUUUUAGGGUUCCACAAUAUGUUGCAAUAUGUUAGACUAACAUGUCUUGGGGUGCAAUCAGGUUUUAUUUUGCAAUGGGGUUGAUAUAGGGGUACUUUGAUGGCCCAAAAAGAAAGGAUGGGUUUACUUAGAACCCUUGGGUAUUUAAUGUUCUUCAUUUUCAAAUGAUUUUAACAGUUAUUGAUAGACACAUGGGGUCUUCAGUAAUUGCCAUGGGUUCAUAUGGCUAACCAAAAUGUCAAAGGGUCAAUGGUAAAUUGUUACCUUGACUUUUGACCUUGAACUUUUUUUCCAAUCUAUCCAAUAGGCAGAGUCCUAAGGGGUUUAUACUUAUUGGGAUUUUGUUUUGGGAGACAUCGAAACAUCAUCCUGGUUUUGCAUUGUUUGGAAAGACAUUUUGAUGCCAAUUUAAUUAGGAGGGGUUCAACCCUUAGGAUUAAAAACAAAAUUACGCAAAAUAUAGAUUGUGAUAUUCAAAUUGUCUUAUAUAGUGGUAGACAUCACUUGGAAUAAGGGACACAGUUUGAGAGAAUAAUCCAUGCAUGUUUGUACACUUAGAAUCUACAUGUAACGAUUAAUAAUCAAUUAUUUUACCUUUGAAAAACAAAGCCUAAGAAAACUAAUUAAUACAUGAAAAGAACUAAUGAAAAAUUGAGUUAUAUUUAAUUAUUUCGUUUUGAAGGUAAGUAUGCUGAGUAAUAAGGGAUGUUUGUUAUAACAAAGUAAGUUCGUUACUGUAAUGUUUGUAGUAUUGUACUUACAUCUUGAAAAAAAAUCUUCUACACAUCUCUUCAUAGGUUUUGUCUCAGAUACAAACAGAUAAGUUGCAACUUAUUGAGGUAAAUAUGAUCUAAGGCGGGUUGAUUUGUUCUCUUACGACACUUUUGGGUUUAAUUCUGUAUAAUAUGAUAUGUAUUAGAUAAUUAAAUAAAGGCAACAGUAGUAUACCGCUGUUUAAAAGUCUUAAAUCGAUUGACAGAAAACAAAUCCGGGUUACAAACUAAAACCGAGGGAAACACAUCAACUAUAAGAGGAAAACAACGAAACAACAGAAACACUGAAGUGCAACAAAAAACAAACGACAAUGCAACAUACAUAGAAACGAACUAUUAGAUAACAACUGCCAUAUUCAUGUCUUGGCACAGGACAUUUUAAGAAAAAAAUGGUGGGUUGAACCUGGUUUUGUAGCUAGCCAAACCUCGCGCUUUCUGGCAAUGCAGAUGGAACAGUAUAAGAUUUGAUUGAAUAAUCGUGGAUUGACUGCUAUCAAAAUUUCAAAUUUCUAUGUUUUAACAUUUACGAUAAUAUCAAACUUACACACACCUUUAUACUUAAAUGAAAUAAAAUACACUGUACAUUCGUUUGUUUGUUUUACACGUUUCUAUCUUGCAAAAUCGUUGCAUUAACUAUGUCCGCAGAUUAUAUCCUGUCCAUUAAAUUCUGUGACAAUUCUCAGCGCAUUUUUUGUAAUGUGCUUUUAUCCAACAAACUUUGCUCUUUAACAAAAUUCAUUGGCCUAUGUUUCCCCAACUUGCAGUUUGCACACGUCUUAUUAUUCAGCAUAAACAAUGCGGGAUUGAUCUGAAAUAAUCCCUAAAAUCGUAUAAAAAUGUUACAAUAAAUAUAUUUAUAUUUA
This is a long non-coding RNA of Mytilus californianus (California mussel), 4240 nucleotides long. RefSeq lists it as uncharacterized. The transcript is spliced from 4 exons. Lineage: Eukaryota; Metazoa; Mollusca; Bivalvia; Mytilida; Mytilidae. The record is from RefSeq and is a predicted model, not a curated record.